Molecule: ribosomal RNA, 440 nt
Filed under: uncultured bacterium
Lineage: Bacteria
Description: partial 16S ribosomal RNA
Rfam family: Bacterial small subunit ribosomal RNA
Source: RNAcentral
CCUACGGGAGGCAGCAGUGGGGAAUAUUGCACAAUGGGGGAAACCCUGAUGCAGCGACGCCGCGUGAGUGAAGAAGUAUUUCGGUACGUAAAGCUCUAUCAGCAGGGAAGAAAAUGACGGUACCUGACUAAGAAGCCCCGGCUAACUACGUGCCAGCAGCCGCGGUAAUACGUAGGGGGCAAGCGUUAUCCGGAUUUACUGGGUGUAAAGGGAGCGUAGACGGCUGCGCAAGUCUGGAGUGAAAGCCCAUGGCUUAACCAUGGAACUGCUUUGGAAACGGUGCAGCUAGAGUGCAGGAGAGGUAAGCGGAAUUCCUGGUGUAGCGGUGAAAUGCGUAGAUAGUAGGAGGAACACCAGUGGCGAAGGCGGCUUACUGGACUGUAACUGACGUUGAGGCUCGAAAGCGUGGGGAGCAAACAGGAUUAGAUACCCUAGUAGUC